Molecule: long non-coding RNA, 416 nt
Filed under: Olea europaea (common olive)
Lineage: Eukaryota; Viridiplantae; Streptophyta; Magnoliopsida; Lamiales; Oleaceae
Description: long non-coding RNA (OEUR_LNC000518)
Source: RNAcentral
UCGUCGCGAGGAGCUGGGGAGCCUUAUAGUUUUCGGAAAUGGACUCGUGGUUCGAUGACGUGGCAGCACAAGGCUCGAUGAGUUGGCAUUCUAGGUGGCGCACGAGUGGUAGGUCGCGUCCCUUCGUCCUGCAUGGCGGUUAGGUGUACGCGUGGCAUCCGUAUGGCUGUGACUAUUCAGAAAUUGGUGAAUAGGCAUGAUGAAUGGACACUUCACUUCAUGGUUCAAUCUGGGCCGUCAGAUCAUAAAAAUAGUGCGAUCCAAUGGCUAAGACGAAUCAGACCAAGUGGUGCACCAGUUCCUGAAAUGUCACACACCUGUUCCAUGAGACACUUCAAUCUCUAUAAAUAGGGACCCCCAUAUUCGUUUUUUGACACACCAAAUCAAUUACGAAUUCAAUUGAUUUCUAAAUUCUU